CCUACGGGUGGCAGCAGUGGGGAAUAUUGCACAAUGGGGGAAACCCUGAUGCAGCGACGCCGCGUGAGUGAUGACGGCCCUCGGGUUGUAAAGCCCUGUCCUCAGGGACGAAAAUGACGGUACCUGAGGAGGAAGCCACGGCUAACUACGUGCCAGCAGCCGCGGUAAUACGUAGGGGGCGAGCGUUGUCCGGAUUUACGGGGCGUAAAGGGGGCGGAGGCGGGGUUUUAAGUGAGGUGGGAAAGACUCGGGCUCAACCUGAGGGCUGCAUUUCAAACUGGAAGUCUAGAGUGCAGGAGAGGAAAAUGGAAUUCCUAGUGUAGCGGUGAAAUGCGUAGAGAUUAGGAGGAACACCAGUGGCGAAGGCGGUUCUCUGGACUGUAACUGACGCUGAGGCUCGAAAGCGUGGGGAGCAAACAGGAUUAGAUACCCGGGUAGUC
This 440-nucleotide ribosomal RNA is filed under the name uncultured bacterium. RNAcentral describes it as "partial 16S ribosomal RNA". It matches the Rfam family "Bacterial small subunit ribosomal RNA", at positions 338 to 795 of the family's 1533-position model. The record is from RNAcentral.